This 744-nucleotide ribosomal RNA is filed under the name uncultured Prevotella sp. RNAcentral describes it as "bacterial SSU rRNA". It matches the Rfam family "Bacterial small subunit ribosomal RNA", at positions 28 to 776 of the family's 1533-position model. The record is from RNAcentral. Lineage: Bacteria; Pseudomonadati; Bacteroidota; Bacteroidia; Bacteroidales; Prevotellaceae.
GAUGAACGCUGACAGAAUGCUUAACACAUGCAAGUCAACUUGAACUUCGGUUUGGGUGGCGGACGGGUGAGUAACGCGUAAAGAACUUGCCUCACAGAUAGGGACAACAUUUGGAAACGAAUGCUAAUACCUGAUAUUAUGAUUUUAGGGCAUCCUAAGAUUAUGAAAGCUAUAUGCGCUGUGAGAGAGCUUUGCGUCCCAUUAGCUAGUUGGAGAGGUAACGGCUCACCAAGGCAAUGAUGGGUAGCCGGCCUGAGAGGGUGAUCGGCCACAAGGGGACUGAGACACGGCCCAGACUCCUACGGGAGGCAGCAGUAGGGAAUCUUCGGCAAUGGGGGCAACCCUGACCGAGCAACGCCGCGUGAGUGAAGAAGGUUUUCGGAUCGUAAAGCUCUGUUGUAAGAGAAGAACGAGUGUGAGAGUGGAAAGUUCACACUGUGACGGUAACUUACCAGAAAGGGACGGCUAACUACGUGCCAGCAGCCGCGGUAAUACGUAGGUCCCGAGCGUUAUCCGGAUUUAUUGGGCGUAAAGCGAGCGCAGGCGGUUAGAUAAGUCUGAAGUUAAAGGCUGUGGCUUAACCAUAGUACGCUUUGGAAACUGUUUAACUUGAGUGCAGAAGGGGAGAGUGGAAUUCCAUGUGUAGCGGUGAAAUGCGUAGAUAUAUGGAGGAACACCGGUGGCGAAAGCGGCUCUCUGGUCUGUAACUGACGCUGAGGCUCGAAAGCGUGGGGAGCAAACAGG